RNAcentral lists this ribosomal RNA (286 nucleotides) under Candidatus Bathyarchaeota archaeon. RNAcentral describes it as "partial 16S ribosomal RNA". It matches the Rfam family "Archaeal small subunit ribosomal RNA", at positions 391 to 679 of the family's 1478-position model. Lineage: Archaea; Thermoproteati; Candidatus Bathyarchaeota. The record is from RNAcentral.
UCCGCUGAGGAUGGCUUUUCCCCAUUGUAUAAAGCUGGGGGAAUAAGGAGAGGGCAAGACUGGUGUCAGCCGCCGCGGUAAUACCAGCUCUCCGAGUGGUGGGGACGUUUAUUGGGCCUAAAGCAUCCGUAGCCUGUUGGGAAAGUCCUCCGUUAAAUCCACCGAUUCAAUCGGUGGGCUGCGGGGGAUACUGUUCAACUAGGGAGCGGGAGAGGCUGACAGUAUUACCGGGGUAGGGGUGAAAUCCUAUAAUCCCGAGAGGACCACCAGUGGCGAAGGCUGUCAG